This is a long non-coding RNA of Tachysurus fulvidraco (yellow catfish), 786 nucleotides long. RefSeq lists it as uncharacterized. Lineage: Eukaryota; Metazoa; Chordata; Actinopteri; Siluriformes; Bagridae. The record is from RefSeq and is a predicted model, not a curated record. The transcript has 3 exons.
GCCACGAGCGCCACGUUCCUGGUGCGCUUCCAGUCCAGCUCGCCGGUGUCCUUGUGCGUCACGCGCUGAUGGAGAAGAUCCCCGCCGGCGAACAGACAGCCGUACAGAGACACGUUGGUCAAACUGGACGCAUCAGUGUGACAUACAAAGUGCAGAGAGACACAACCCUGUUUAUUUCCCUGGCUCUUAAAACCUCUAACUUUGACUGUAUGAUUUGUGACGAUUUGACUGGAUUUUUAAUUUCACGUCUCAGCGUGGAACAUCGCUAAUUCGCAGACGUGUUGUUUAUAGACUACGGAAACGAUUCUGUACGUACGACAUGUAAACCAGAUGUGCAGCAUGAAGCUGGAACUUGAGAUGAUUUAAGAUGUGUUGAGCAAUUAGACUAAAAGCUUCCAGAUCAGAUCAGCCAUCAGCACUUUUCUUCAGCAGGACAUCUACAGAGCGUGUAACGAUCGAUGAUCGGCGGACGAACGAAUGAACAAAUCCUGACUGAUACAUUGCAGUAUGACUGAGUUAUUCAUCUUACAGUAAUGUUGGGUGUAAAUGUUUUCAUGCAUAAGAGUAAAUAUAUGCAAAUUUUACUUUGAUGUUUAAUUUCCAUGGUUAGAUUUUUAUCAUGAUACGAAUAAAGAUAAAUUAAUCUUAAGGAUGCCAUGACACCUGGGCCUAAGACAUCAAAAUUAAACACAUAAUUAAUAAAAAAAAAAUCCUUUAAUUAUGAGGUGUUUUGCAUAACGUGUCAUCGUAAUAAACCUAAACAAAGAGUGACAAUAGAGUUGUUGU